GCCCGCGCCUCUCCCGCCACACCUCCCUGCAAGCUGAGGGAGCCGGCUCCUGCCUUGGCCAGGCUAGAAAGGGGCUCCCACAGUGCAGGGGCGGGCUGAAGGGCUCCUCAAGUGCCACCAAAGUGGGAGCCCAGGCAGAGGAGGUGCCGAGAGCGAGCGAGGGCUGCGAGGACUGCCAGCAGCUGUCACCUCUCGUUACCAUCACUCCUAGUGACCAUUUCGGAUAAUCCACCUUGCCUCAUCAAACCAGAAAACAAUUCAAACCUGGCCUCCUUCUAACUGGAAGCCACAUUUUAAGAACUUAUUGUGAAGAACUGGAAAGCCUCCAAUAGAACAGAAGCUAAAAGCAGAAAUUAUAAAAGCUGUUACACCUACUCAGCUCUAUUACAUGUUGGAAAAACUGAACCAGAGAAACAAUUACAUACACUCUUGUCUUCUGGAAAAGCUGAAUUGGGUUUUGGUCUGAAUCAAUAGGACCCAUUAUACAGGCUGCCUUUCCAGCUCUCCAAUCAUACUUCCAAGAAAACUGCUCACUCUCAGAACCAAGGUUCAAGUUGUACAUUGGGAUUUGGGUAGAGCACGGGACCUGGCAUGGAGCAGCAUUCAAAAUAUUGGGUAGAAGGAAAAAGGAAGAAAGAAGGGAAGGACAGGGAAGCAAGGAAAUAAAGGAAAUCAGGCUAUAUAUACAGUGAUGCCCAUCUACCCCUGAGAUCUAAAAAUCUAAGAUGAAAACGAGCACACAGUCUUGGCAGCAUUGGGGUAACAGACUAUGAAAGAAGAAAUCAGAUUGGAAAAUUCAGUAUAUCAAUGAAGAAAAUAAUCACUCAAGGAGAGGAAUAAACAGCAAAACAAUCUAUAUAUUUAAUUAUAGAUACAAUUGUUUCAAUGCUGAUUAUUCAUCCUUAUAUAACUGUCUACAGCUAUUUAGGGUUGUCUUCAUCCAUUUUGUGUUGCCAUUGCAGAAUACGUGAAACUGGGUAAUUUGUAAAGAAAAGAGAUUUUUUAACUUAUGGGUUCUGCAGGAUGGGAAGUUCAAGAAACAUGACACCAGCAUCUGCUUGGUUUCUGUUGAGGACUUUCAUGCUUAUAUCACAACAUGGCAGAAGGUUAAAGGGGGAGUAGACAUGUGCAAAUAGGCAAAACCUGAGGGGCAUCUUGGCUUUAUAACAACCCACUCUUGGAGGACUAAUUCAUUCUUGAGAGAACUAAUCUGGUCUUGCCAGAGAAAAAAUUCACUCACUGCCUACUGUGAGAAUAGCACUAAGCCAUCCAUGAGAGUGGAGCCCCAUCACUCAAACACCUCCCAUUAGGCUCUACAGCUUACAGAUUAUACCUCCUAACAUUGCCACAGUGGGAAACAAAUUUCAAGAUGAGAUUUGGUGGGGACAGACCAUAUCUAAACAAAGAGUAAACAAGGGUAAACAACUUUUGAGAACAUACUUGUGAUCCUUUAUUUCAACCCAGAAUGAUGCCAGAAUUUUGGAGAUGGGGCUCAGAGCAAAUCAGUAAGUUACAAUUCUCAAGUUUCACAGGGAAGUGGGAGUGAGAGACACAUCAUGGAGGACCACGCGACUCUCAGUUACACUGGGUGAAUUGUCUUCAUUGAAUUCCCGCACCAUGCAGACUCAUUUAACGGUAGUUCUUCCAAAGCUGCUUUUCUGCUUUGCUUUUGGAAUACUACUUUAUCUAAAUUUUCAUCUACCCUUUCAAUUCCUAUGCUUCUUGUGUUGAUUUCUCUUUUCCGACUUCUCAGAUUUUUAAUCUCAUUUUUAAACAUGAGAAUUCUCUGAGGUCUAUUUCUUGACCCUUUGUCCUCUUUUUAACUAUCCCUUGGGAAACUUGCACAAUCUAAAUGACUAACUAGAACUUAUGAGAUUAUGAGCCAGAUCUCUCCCUGCUUAUGAGCCCAUUUCAAUUAGAUGUCUCAGCAUCAUUGUAAGUUAAAAUGCAUAAAAUCCAAAACAAUAAAUUUUUCUCAAACCAA
Molecule: long non-coding RNA, 1984 nt
Organism: Homo sapiens (human)
Lineage: Eukaryota; Metazoa; Chordata; Mammalia; Primates; Hominidae
Product: long intergenic non-protein coding RNA 2046
Source: Ensembl